RNAcentral lists this long non-coding RNA (343 nucleotides) under Trifolium pratense (red clover). Its description in RNAcentral is "long non-coding RNA (TPRA_LNC011916)". The record is from RNAcentral. Lineage: Eukaryota; Viridiplantae; Streptophyta; Magnoliopsida; Fabales; Fabaceae.
CAUUUUCAAGUACCGUAAUUUAAUCACUGUGGAGUAAUAUAACAAAAUUAAUGAUUUAAAUUAAAAAAGCAAGAUGAACAAAAGAAUAUGACAUAAAAACCGGGGUACAUUUUAUCCAUUUAUAAAGGAUAAUUUAAGCAAUUCGAUCUAAUUAAAUCAGUGAAAGACAAUGUUUCAUCCUAUAUUAAAGACUAUGCUUAAAGUUAAAGAUAGAAUUCAAGAUUUUCUCAUACAUACUUCAUCAUGAGAUACAAUACACACACAUGAAUGCAUUUGAUUUUCAUGGAAGUUCCGUAGACCCUCUCUUUUUCCCUAGUCCUUCUUCUCCUCCAAUUCCUCCGUU